AUAGCGGCGAUAAAACAUUGAAGAGAUUUUAAGCUUGUGAAAUUUGGGCUGCGAUUCUGGAGGCAGUUCGAACAACAAUCCGAUUAGCUUCCGUCUCGUGCAGAUUCUCUGGUCCUUCCUCCGAUUAGCUUCCGUCUUCCGUCUUUUCUUAGGGGUUGUACCAGAAAGAUUAUGCACUGCGGCAGAAAUAAGAUUCUACUUCAGUAACACCUUCACAACAUCAGGGAGUUCCAGUUACCUAAACCCCGGCAGAAAUUGUAAUUUUACUUCUUGGGAAGCUGGUUGUGAGCCACGAUGCGCUUUUCCAGAAGUGUACCAAAACUGAAUUGCAAAAGGAUGGAAGGUAGGUUGAAUCUGAGAAGAAAAGCGCUAUGUAUUUGGUGUUGACGUCCCCGAACCGCAAAUUCCCAAAUGGUGGAUCUGGUUUUACUAUCUAAUGCCUACAUCUUGGUCCCUAAACGGCAUGCUUUCUUCGCAAUAUGGCGAUAUAGAGAAGGAUAUCGAGAUUUUUGGAGAAAAGAAAACAUAGGCAACGUUUUUGAGGGAUUAUUUUGGAUAUCACCAUGAUCAAUUACCCAUUGUGGCUGUAGUGCUGAUUCUGUUCCCUCUUCGUUUUGCCUGUUUAUUCACACUUUGCAUUUAGAAGUUGAACUUUCAAAGGAGGUGAUAGAAAUUGAAAUAUCUGGCUGGUUUAUGUUUGUGCAGAAAAACAUGUUAAAUAUUCACUUUUACUAUAAUGUUUUGAGAGAAUAUUGUAUUUUCAAUGGGUAGAUAUGAGGAUAUCAUACAUAUUUGUAGAUUUCUUAUGACUCAUAUCUGUGUUUGGAGUAAAUACUCCCUCUCUCUACUGUACACACUGAUUAGUUCAGAAAAACAAAGUCUGUAAUUUUUGUUUCCUUUCCUUUUCUUUGUCUAUUUGGAGUAAUACUCCCUCUCUCUACUGGACACACUGAUUAGUUCAGAAAAACAAAGUCUCUAAUUUUUGUUU
This is a long non-coding RNA of Ipomoea nil (Japanese morning glory), 988 nucleotides long. RefSeq lists it as uncharacterized. NCBI's taxonomy places the organism in Eukaryota, Viridiplantae, Streptophyta, Magnoliopsida, Solanales, Convolvulaceae. The record is from RefSeq and is a predicted model, not a curated record. The transcript is spliced from 4 exons.